CCACAAUGAUGGCAAUAUUUUUCAUCAACAGAAAUUAACCUAGUGAGUUUUGAUAUUUAGGGUAUAAGUGA
Molecule: small nucleolar RNA, 71 nt
Organism: Chlorocebus sabaeus (green monkey)
Lineage: Eukaryota; Metazoa; Chordata; Mammalia; Primates; Cercopithecidae
Source: Ensembl